RNAcentral lists this long non-coding RNA (1269 nucleotides) under Equus caballus (horse). Its description in RNAcentral is "lncRNA (ENSECAG00000053889.1)". Lineage: Eukaryota; Metazoa; Chordata; Mammalia; Perissodactyla; Equidae. The record is from RNAcentral.
AAAAAAAAAAAAGGAGAAGAAUAAAAGCCUAGGGAUUUAGUGGCUAACUGCUAGUUCCUUGUAACCGUGGUAUCACUUGUUUGGUGGCAAGCAAAUGUAGGAGACUCAAGCUCAGAACUCAGAAUCCAGGACUCGGAUGAGAAGCCUGUAGCUCACAGAAGUUAAGCCACUUCCAAAGUCAUAUAAACAGAAAGUAGCAGAGAUGAGCACUCCAAUUCAUUAGCAGAACACCCCACAUCACUCGUUGUCACAUCUAACAAACCGUCAUGGCAAGGCUGCUUAGAAGCUCUGGACUUCCAAGGACCAGAAGAAACGUGACAGCAAUAAUAAUCAUAAUCAAAUCCAAUGGUCUGAGAUUCAAUUUCAUGUUAGUUUGCUCAUUUUUCAAAGAAGAUUUUUGGACUUCUGCUUUGGCCAAGAUGGAGUAAAGGGGAGUGGAUUCAUUUUCCUACCAAAAAAAACCACUAAAAGGACAAAAUAUAUAUUUUCAAGACAGUGUAUAUUAGGCAAUGUGAGACAGUUACUCUGAGAAACAAGACAAAAACUCAGCAAAUUAGGAGUAGAGAAGACUUCCUCAACCUGAGAUAAAGCAUCUACAAAAAUCCCACAGCUAUCAUCAUGUUUAAUAGAGAAAAGACUGAAAAUUUUCCCCUGAGAUCAGAACCAAGACAAGGCUAUCUACUUCCUACAUUUUUAUUCAGCGUUGUACUGAAUGUUCUAGCCAGUGUAAUGGGGGAAAAUAGAGAAUAAAAGGCACUCGGAAAAGGAAAAGGAAAACUGUUUUUACUUGAAGUUGACAUGAUCUCUGUGUAGAAAAUCCAACGUAAUAUACAGAAAAGCUAUUAGAACUAAUAAGUAAGUUUAGGAAUGUUGCAAGAUAGAAGAUCAAUAUGAAAUCAAUUGUAUUUAUAUGCACUAGCAAAGAAUAAUCAGAAAUUGAAAUAAAAAUAAUACCAUUUACAUAUCAUACAAAAGAUAUGAAAUGCUUAAGCAUAAAUUUGCAACAAUACGAAAGACUGGUAUACUGAAGAUAACAAAACAUUGCUGAAAGAAGUUAUAGAAGGUCUAAAUAAAUGAAGAGAUACACCGUGUUCACGGGAUGGAAGAUUGAAUAUUGUUAAGGUGUCUGUUCUCCCCAAUUUCGUCUAUAUACUUGACACAAUGCAAGCAAAAAUCCAAGCAGGUUUUUUUCCUUAUUUGUUUGGUGGAAAUUGACUACAUCAUUCUACAGUUCACAGGUAAUUACAAAAAAUUCAGUAUAGCUUAAAC